GAGAGGGAAGAUUUAGGUUGGUGCAAAAGUAAUUGUGGUUUUUGCCAUUGAAAGUAAUGGCAAAAACCGCAGUUUCUUUUGCACCAACCUAAU
Molecule: microRNA precursor, 93 nt
Filed under: Pan paniscus (pygmy chimpanzee)
Lineage: Eukaryota; Metazoa; Chordata; Mammalia; Primates; Hominidae
Description: miRNA (ENSPPAG00000001706.1)
Source: RNAcentral